AAGUAAUGGAAAGAACGAUUGUGUUAAAAAUGCUGAGACACAGGUCAACUGAGACUUGUGAUGUUAUUACCUUUCUGCUUGGCAGUACCUCCGCAAUACAAUAUCGGACUGCAGAGUUCAGCAGGAAGGAAGACAAUGUAAUGAUGAUUCUAUUUUUCAUGUAGCUUUUCUUUGUACUUGUAGAAUAUCCUACAUCACAUUGCUUCAAAAACCAGGAACUGCCACACUGUGUUCUGCCGCUUGCAACAAGUUGACAAAUGGACAUGAAUUUCACCUCUGAGAGUUUCAUAAGCUGGUAUUGUCCUGACAUUGCAAAGUGUUUACCACAAAGAUCCUGUACAUCCAUCAUCCAGGGCCAGCGUUUGCCUGAUUCUAAUUCCACUGACAUUGAAAUCUACAGCUCUCUGUGAGUCAUUUAUCACACUUAUUAAAAUGUUCCAUUGUGAAUUGGAAUAGCAAUUCACUAUUAUUUCAGAGUGCUGCCCAAGGGGCAUUCUAUGCAGCAAAUCUUAAUGCUUUAUUGAAAUAGUAGUUUGGUUUUAAUAAAUGAUUCUUUGCAAAGGUAUCUUGCUUUCAUUAUGAAAGGUGAUGUUCGCUUUCUAAAUCUGGCAUCCUUGCCUAAGAUUAUGUAGAUAUCUCGGUUUAAUAUUGCAUUUUCCUGCCCUAAAUAGUCCAUCCCUAAUAUUUGAACAAUGAUAUGUCAAUUAGAUUAAUUAGACUAUUGUGUAAGAAGUAUCUUUUAAAAUUCUCUUUGAACUGGAGUCAAAUUACCAACAUAUACUGAAGAACUUUGAAAUAACAGAUACAUUUCAUAUGAAUAAAAAUAAAUUUUUUUCAUCAGAAAGGAGGCAUUUUCACAAUAGAGCAGAACAUUUUUGAAUAGAACUUACUAUUUUGUACAGCAGACUUUCUCCC
RNAcentral lists this long non-coding RNA (915 nucleotides) under Homo sapiens (human). RNAcentral describes it as "HSALNT0070646". The record is from RNAcentral. Lineage: Eukaryota; Metazoa; Chordata; Mammalia; Primates; Hominidae.